GCCCAGCCACCCUCUGGGGGAAGAACCUUUCCCUAAAAUCCGACCUGAGCCUGCCCUGACACAGCUCCAUGCUGUGGCAAGGCCAAAGACUGAGCGUGGGGGGUUUUUUUGUGAUGAUGAAUUUUGGGAGAGGCCAAAAUCUCGGCUCCCCUCCAUCCAACUGGGCAGAAGAUGAAUCAGAAGCCCUGAAACCCAAACUGGGGCUCUGAGCUUGGACCGCUGCCUGCUCACAGAGACAGGACAUCCAUCCUCGGGGUCAUCAGCCCAGCACGUGGGGUUGGAUUUGGGUAUGGUGUGAUCCUCCCUCCUCUCCUGUUCACUCCCGCAGGCCUUUGACAGCAAGGGUGGCAAUUCCUGGAAGAAAUGAGCCCCCUCGUUGUGAUGGAGCAGAGCCGAGUCCUCCCGGGCUGCUCUCGGCAGAGCUGGUUGGCAUUUUGGGAUCACCCGCUCCUGGUCACGGGAGCUGUGCUGUGUGAGCCCCGUGCCCUCUUAGGGAAUGCCGGGCUGUGGUUGUGCACGCCAUAAAUCCAGCUGGCGAUGACAGGGACACUCCAAACCCUCCGCGUUAUUUUUGCCUCCGUAGCUCAGGCUCCGGGCGAUCCCGGGCUGCGGCUCCAGCGUUCCCGUCCCAUGAGAGGGCAGCACGAGCCCGCCGGUGUCGGAUACGGGUUUUUAGGUGCUGAAAUUGGGCAGCAUCAGUUCUGAAACUCCUUCGGAAGCGAUGUGAGUGUGUCUGCUUAAACCUUGCCCCGGAGCGUCCCCAUUCCGGUGACUAAUGUGUGAAACCAACCAGGAGUGGUUUUCCCUGCCGAUAAAAAGUGUGGUGAACAUCGAUCCUUCCUACAUUCCUGCAGGAGACUGUGGAAAUCCUUCAUCCUCAUGCUGAGCAGGGUCUGCAGCUCUCAUCAUGCUGCAGCAUGGCCAGGACUGAUUGCUCUGGAACAUCAGCUCUUGGCUGAGUAAUACAGAACUUGCUUUUCCUGGGAUAAUCCAUAGAGAUGGAUGUUGGGCAAGGAAAAUGCAGAAGGAAGCCAGGAUCAUGUGAAUGUGUUGGACCAGGAGAAAAUAAGAAGUUUGUAUUCAGUGUUUAUCUGAAGUGAUUGCUAUUUAUGCACCUAACCUUGUGACAGAGCAAAAACACUGCCAGAAGAAUGUUAUUACCUGAAAAGCUGUUUAUUCCCCCAGAUUCAUGAACCAACAAAGAGGCCCUAAAAGGAAGAUGUGGGGAUCCCUCUGUCCUAUGUGUGGGUGUCAGCAGCCAAACCAUCUGUGUCCCCUGUUCCCUCUGCUGGGACAGCAGGGAUUUCUGGGUCUAGGAACUUGGUCCUGAAAACUGCUGAGUAAACUCCAGUUAGUGUUUCCUGGAAUCCACUGGAGGGGUGGUCCCUGAACCCAUUUUUUAGCUGGUCACUGGGAGCUUUAGCCUGUCGAAGGGCCCAAUCCUGGGAGCUUCAGGGCUCUUCAAUCCUCAGUAACUUUGAUUGGAGUUAAGGGUCACUCAGUACCUCCUGGGAGGAGGCCCUGAGCGGUCUCAGCUUUUAAAGUUAAUGGUUUUGAGCGUGAGAAUCUGGCCUGGGAGUUUUUAAUUUGACUUUGCUGGUUUUAGGUUCAGCUUGAAACUGUCUCAAAUAGAUUUUGUGCCCUCAGUACUGAAUGUUACUUUGUUAGAGCCUUCCCUGUUGUUGGUCUUACAGGUGCCAAGUCCAUCCCUUGUCUUAGGCAACUGUAGCCAAUGGGCUGAGAUCAGGGAUGACUUUGGCCAGGGAUAAUUGACAUAAUAAAUAAAAUUUGAAACAAAAAAAAUUAUAUAUAAAUCAAAAGUUUGAGUUUGGAAUAGCUUCUGAGAUUCUGAAAGUAACUGAAGUAAUCCAGGAGAAAAUAUGCCAUGAAAUCUGUUUUCCAUUAUUGCAUGAGAUGGUAUGUCUUAAAAUUUGAUCAAACCCAUUUUUUUUAUACGAUGAAGACAAUGCAGCUCAAAGUGAUGUGGAGAUCUGGGGUCAUUUUCAAUGUGGUAUUUGUAAAUUAUUGUAGACUUGACAUUCUUAUUCAUUUGUUUGAUAAGAUUUGCUUUUCCUGCUGUGAUCUCACAGCAAACAAUUUCUGACUGAGUGGUAUUUUUGAAAGAAGUGGUAGUGGAACCUCAUUAUUGA
Long non-coding RNA from Pipra filicauda (Wire-tailed manakin), 2150 nucleotides. RefSeq lists it as uncharacterized. The record is from RefSeq and is a predicted model, not a curated record. The transcript has 2 exons. Lineage: Eukaryota; Metazoa; Chordata; Aves; Passeriformes; Pipridae.